This 2952-nucleotide long non-coding RNA is filed under the name Gossypium barbadense (sea-island cotton). RNAcentral describes it as "long non-coding RNA (GBAR_LNC022666)". The record is from RNAcentral. Lineage: Eukaryota; Viridiplantae; Streptophyta; Magnoliopsida; Malvales; Malvaceae.
AGAACACAAACAGAAAUAGAAGCAGAGGACAAAACGAAAGGGAUAAAAACGAAAGAGAAAAUACAAAGGAAAAAAAGGGAGAGGAAAACUCAGAAAUCAUCAGAAACGAAGCAACGGUUGAGUCAUUCUUGACAGGAUACUAUCAAAGCUGCGGAAUUUGUGGUUAAAAGGUAAGCUUUUUUUUCUUUCGAAACACUGUAUCUUGAUUUAGGGUUUUGGUUCAGUGUAAUUUAGGAAUUUGGGGUUUAGAGUCCAAGUUCAAUCACCAAGCUUGUACCAGUUUGUUGGGGAAUUUGGGAAUUUUAGCGUGUUUAGGGUUUGGGAUGAGGUACAGAUCUUCUGUGUUUGUUUUCUAGUUUGUUCUUCUAAUUGUUGAAGGGCCCCCAAAAAUAACACUUGUUCUUACGUUCAUGUUUUGUUCCCCAGAAGUAACACUGCAUUUGCCCAACUGUUAAAGAAAGGAGAACUCAAAAUUGUGGAUUAACCAUUUGUUACUGCCUUAUUGAUCAGCUUGUAUUUAGGUAAGUUUGCUGAUAUUAUUUUUAUCAAAUUGUCCUUACUUUUAUUCCUUCUGAUUUCAGAGUUGAAUUUAUUUAGUUAUUAGUAAAAAGGGGUAAACAACUGAACUAAAACUACAAAAGUUUACUCUUCGACAAUCUCUAAUUUUAGUUGACUUCACUGUGAAUUUCCUCAAAUAAGCAUCACAGUUUUUGCUUUAAGUGUUAUUUAAACUUUUAACUUGGUAAAAACAUUUGAAUGGCUUGGAAAUUUUUGUGCAUUUUAAAAUCUCUUUUAAGAAAAACUUAUUGGGUGGGGUUGGACCAAGCCUAAUUUAUUCAUAUACUGUUGAGGCUUUGGAGUAAUUUAGUAUAAAACUGCAUCUACAGGUAAAUGCUUUAGCUGCUUUUCCAUCUUUAUAUAUUUUUAAAAUUUUCUCCAUGUUGCAGUAAAAAUUGUUGAAAGUAAUUUUCUUAGAACGUAAUCGACUUUCCAGCACUUUGUAAUUAGCUCUGUAGUUGCUAUAACAAUGUUAAACAAUGUUACACGAUUUCUUCAUUCUCCGGUUGUUCCUAAAGUAUCAGUCUGACAGCUAUAUCUAGAUUCCCGACACAUAUUCAAACAUUGAUAUAGAACACAUGGAGAACAAAAAGUUCCUUUCACACCAAGUUCCUACAUGUCUGUUCUGCUUUGUUCAAUGAGUUUAUUAUUUCUCUGUUGUUUGUUUCUUACACACGAGAUUUGGAUAUUGUAUAUACAUUGUAAAAAUGGGCUGCCCGAUUUAACAGAAUGUUAAAUACAUGACUUACUAAAAUUUAAGUAUAUAUUACAUUACUUACUAAAAUAUAUUACAUUACUUAAAUAUAUUACUUACUAAAAUUUAUAACUUACAUUACAUAAACAUAUUACAUUACUUAAAAUUUAUAUAUAUAUUUUAAAUUUUUAUAUAUGGUAUGGAUAUAUAACCUAUAUUUCAAUUUUAUUGUCAAUAAAUUUUAUAAUUUUAAAAAUAAUUGUAAAUGUUAUUUUUUAAAUAUUAAAACCUAUUUUUUUAAAAUAUCAUCCCAUAUAUGGUAUGGAUAUAUAACCUACAUUUCAAAUUUAUUAGUAAUAAAUUUUAUAAUUUUAAAAAUAAUUAUAAAUAAGAUACAUAAAAGUGAUAUACUUACAUUACUUACAAAACUAUGCACCUUAUGGUCAUUCUUCUUACCAUUUUCUUGGCUGGUUCAAGAUAACCUAAAUUAAAAAAUAUACUAUUUUUAAAUUUAUUUAAAAAAUAUACUAAAUUAAUAAAUUUCAAAUAUAAUGUACUAAAAUAAUGUAAAAUAAAAAAAAUAGUAUAUUUUUUAAAAUUAUUAAAAUUCGAGAAAAAAAUACGAACAUAAGGUUGAAAUAAGGGUUUUUUUAAUUUAAAAAACACACUAAAUUAAUACAUUUCAAAUAUAAUGUACUAAAAUAGUGUAAAAUAAAAAAAUUAAAAAUAGUAUAUUUUAUAAAAGUAAUAAAAUCUAGGAAAAAAAUAUGAACAUAGGGCUGAAAUAAGGGUUUUUUUAAAAUUUAUUUAAAAAAUCACACUAAAUUAAUACAGUUCAAAUAUAAUGUACUAAAAUAAUGUAAAAUUAAAAAAUUAAAAAUAGUAUAUUUUUUAAAAGUAAUAAAAUUCGAAAAAAAAUACGAACAAAGGGCCAAAAUACGAACAAUUGGUGCCGCCUGUGCCACAGGCACCAAAGGUGCUGCCUAUGGCAGGCCCUCCUUCAGUAUGUUUUUUUUUUAACUUUUUUUUGUAUUAUUUUGGUAAAUAAAAAUAAGUUGUAAUAUUUUAGUAUUUUUUUAUUUUUUUUGUAAUAUUUUGGUAAAAAUCCCUAUGGAUAUAUAACCUAUAUUUCAAUUUUAUUGUCAAUAAAUUUUAUAAUUUUAAAAAUAAUUGUAUAUGUUAUUUUUUUUAAAUAUUAAAACCUAUUUUUUUAAUAUAUCACCCCAUAUAUGGUAUGGAUAUAUAACCUACAUUUCAAAUUUAUUAGUAAUAAAUUUUAUAGUUAUAAAAAUAAUUAUAAAUAAGAUACAUAAAAGUGAUAUACUUACAUAACUUAUAUAUAAACUUAUAUAUAAACUUGCAUAACUUACAUAAUAACAUAAUAACUUACAUAAUACAUAACUUACAUAAAUUAAAUAACUUACAUAAUACAUAACUUUGAUAACUAACAUUAUACACAACUUACAUAAUACAUUUCUUACAUAACUUACAUUAUACACAACUUAAUUAAUAUUAUACAUAACAUACAUAAUACAUAAUACACAACUUAAUUAAUAAUAUACAUAAUAGACAUAAUACAUAAUACAUAAUACACAACUUAAUUAAUAUUAUACAUAACAUACAUAAUACAUAACUUACAUAAUACACAACUUAAUUAAUAUUAUACAUAACUUACAUAAAUUACAUACAUAUCGAUGCAG